Long non-coding RNA from Gadus morhua (Atlantic cod), 2462 nucleotides. NCBI's taxonomy places the organism in Eukaryota, Metazoa, Chordata, Actinopteri, Gadiformes, Gadidae. The record is from Ensembl.
CUGCUCUCUGUGUUUUUUUGGCUACUGCUUUUCAAAUGCAUUGCAUUCCUGAAACACCACCUACCAAGACCCAUCCAAGACCCAGCAAAGGUCCUCUUGGAGACCCUCCGGACCCCGGCCCCACCCAGACGUCCUCCUACUCCUCUGAGGUUGAGACUGCUGCCGGCUCCACCCCUCCUGUCUCGGCGCUGCCCUGGCAGGUGGUGGUCCCGGGCCCCUCCCUCAAAGAGGUCAUCGUCCAGCUGCUGGCUCAGGUCAGCCCUGGGUACAUACCCCCGGGGACCCCUGAGAAGAUCAGCACCGUCCUCCAGGAGACCCGGCGCCUCCUGGCCUCCUCCUUCCCCUGGGUCAGGGUGACGGGGGACUGGCAGCAGGCUAACUGUCUGCUCCAGCCCACCGCUCCUUGCCAGGUGGCCGGGUCCAUCCUGGCCCGCCUGGAGCAGGCGUUGCUCCCCAGAGAGCGGCUGGCGGGGGCUCUGGUCACGGCUCCACACGUCCUCAACUACUACAUGUCCUAUCUGGUGGCGGUGAGUGUAGCCCAGCUGGUCCCACACCAGCUGCAAGCUACUCAGGAGGACCUGCAGAGGGUGGUGCGGGCAGUGCGGAGCAUCCCUCCAGGCUCCAUGCUGACUGUGAGCAGCGACCUGGUGGACACCCUGCUGGUACAGCUCAUCCUGAAGCUCCAGCCCCUCCACGGGGACGGCUACAGGCAGCUGGGCCAGCAGAAGCUCCUGGCCCUCACCCUUCAGCUGAGUGCUUUGACAUUGGAGGCCCUUAGGAGGAUGCCUGGUGUGACGGUGGACACUGCUCUCCCUCGUCCCAGCUGGGAUUUAAGGAGACUUACCUUCCAGGCCCAGAGCCGCCUGAUGCAGGCCUUUGGGACCUUUUACCAGGUCAAGAAACUGAUGGCAGCGGGAAACCCCGAUCUCAUCCGCUGCAUCCCUAGGGAGGUCAUCGAGGUUGUUCUGGCUCAGCAUCAGACAGCCUGCACCGAGGGAACACCUGUCCAGGCUCCCAAGGUGGAGGAGGACCUAAUGGAGAGCAGGCUCUUUAGACAGACGCUCCCUGAGACAGAAAGGGAUCCGAUAUUCCAGGAGUUUGGAACAUGGGUCCGGCACACGAUGAUCUACCGUAAGGCUCUUCCGGAAAUGAGCGAUGAUGUCAUUGCGGAUUACCGCCACAUGGUCAUCCCACGCCCUUCCUCCUACACCACCUGGGUCAACGGAAAGUACUUUGUUGGAGAUGACUACAAGGAAGUGACCUCAUUGGUGGACAAUGUCAGCCUGGCUCACAAUGCUUUUGUAGUGGACGGCAGCGGUGAAGCCCUCCAGAGGGACUUCCAGAACAGCCACAAGCUGCUCCAGGGUCUGACCCAAUCUGAGCCCUCUUCGCCGCAAGACUCUGGGCAGGGUUUGCUUGCCUUUGAUCCUGUGCUUUCUGGAGCCCUUCUGCCUCCAGCAGCUCAGCCACUGCCAGGAUACUCUGCUAAUGCUGCUGCCGCUGCUAGGAACUCUGUCUCAACCACUGAGAAGGUUCUGAUCCAGCGGUCAACUGCUGAACGGGUUGUAGAAGAACUGUUCAGAGGCCAGGACCAAACCUUUUACCAGUCACAGGCCCGCAAGUACCGGGCCUUUGAGAAGGAGAUAGUGGAACAUGUCUACUUGGUGCUGGAGAAGGAGGCCGAGGCAUACAGGAACAACAGAGUGUUCAAACAGACUCUGGAGCGCCUGAUGGACCCCGUGCAAGAGGUCAAACUUGCCGUUGAGCUUCGGCGGCCCCUGAGACAGAAGUUGAUCGUGGCCUUGCCCAACACGUGGCUGACCAGGGAGGGCCUCAUGCAGGACCCCCAGGUAGCCCUGCUGGCCUGCUCCCUUGUAGCAAGAGAGGUGCUCAACCACAUCAAGCCCUCUGUGAGCUUCAGCGCGGAGGUCCAGGGAAGAGACAACACCCCCUAUAGCAUCAACGUCCCUGUGAGGAAGCCGGAGGAAGGAGAUGAGGAGAGAGCUCUCACCCUGCUAGAGGAGCGUCUUCACAAGGAGAACAACGCGAGCAGGGAGGAGUUCCUCGCCUGCCCAGACAAGGAUCCUGAGGAGAAAGAAGUAAAAACCAAAAAGAGGAACUUCUCUUGGCUUUGCCGGCUCUUCAGCUGCAAGAAGAACUGAGAAUGAAACCUAACAUAAUGAGAAUUAACAUGCAUCUUUGGAACCUAAAAUGUAGAUAGGAAUGGAAACCAAACAUCUGGAAACCAAACUUUUAUGCCAAUGAGGGAGACCAACCAUGGACAUUAUCCACAACUUUGGACCCCGACCAUGAACAUCUAAAAUGAAAAAGAAAUAUAUACAUCUCAGAUGGACACAUUUUAUCAUUAACAUUGUGUUUUAACAUUGUUUCAUUUUUUUAUAUUGUAUAUAAAUGUUUACAUUUUAUUAAUUUGUUUCCUUGACAUUCUUUUUGAUUUGACA